UGCUUUAUACAUGUUACUGAUCUACAUAGGCCAUUUGGGGAAGCAAAUCAACAUUUGGUUUAUAUCUAUAUACUAUAUAUAAGAAGCCAAGAGUAAAUUAAGAUCAAUUAUAAAAGCUUGGAAUUAGCAGCACCUGCCGAUCACAAAGAUUAUUAUGUAACGAUGCAGAAAGCAGUACUGCUGUCAUUUCUUCUUUUUUUUUUUUUUCUGGGCAUAUAUAGGCAGGGAUAGAUGAAAAGAGGAAAUAUUGUAAGUGUAGUUUCAUUUUUUUGUAAUCUCUUUUGAUCUUAUUUAUGUUGGUAAUUCUUUAACUUCCAUACCAAAAAAAUCUUUCAAUUGAUUCUUUCAUAUUGUAUCUCCUACAUAAUUUGUUGCGAGACAAGAAUAACAACAAAGUAUAAUUUUAUUUUAUUUUA
RNAcentral lists this long non-coding RNA (416 nucleotides) under Carica papaya (papaya). RNAcentral describes it as "long non-coding RNA (CPAP_LNC011269)". Lineage: Eukaryota; Viridiplantae; Streptophyta; Magnoliopsida; Brassicales; Caricaceae. The record is from RNAcentral.